Molecule: long non-coding RNA, 405 nt
Filed under: Ananas comosus (pineapple)
Lineage: Eukaryota; Viridiplantae; Streptophyta; Magnoliopsida; Poales; Bromeliaceae
Description: long non-coding RNA (ACOM_LNC018223)
Source: RNAcentral
AUUAUAUUUCAUUAAAUAUAUGAAAAAACUUCAAAUACUACACUGUGGUUUCGCACUUUCUCACUUUAGUACCUUAUGGUUUAAAGUGUAUCAAUUCAGUACCCUGUGAUUUCACUUUUCUCUUUUUGUUGCCUCCUCAGUCCUCACUUAGCAUUUCGUUAAAUUAUAUACAAAAAACUUCAGAUACCCCAUCUAGAUUUAUCGAAUAUUUACUUUAGUAUUUUUUAAUUUUAACUAUGUCGCUAAUUUAAUAAAAAAAAAAUUAGCGUAAGGGAUAAUAAAAAUAAAAAAAAUGAAAUCAUGGGGUACUAAAUUGAUACACUUUAAAUCACAGGGUACUAAAAUAAAAAAAGUGCGAAACGACAAAAGUGGUAUUUGAAGUUUUUCCUAAAUAUAACAAUGGUU